Molecule: long non-coding RNA, 999 nt
Organism: Hippocampus comes (tiger tail seahorse)
Lineage: Eukaryota; Metazoa; Chordata; Actinopteri; Syngnathiformes; Syngnathidae
Exons: 2
Source: RefSeq, a predicted model, not a curated record
ACAAAGUCAGCCAGCCCAACGAGAACAAGACACGCCCCCCUCUGGCAUGCCUCAAUCGCAAGGAGAGCUGCCGCAGUGCAUGAUGGGAAACAGGAAGGUGGACGACAUGCGCUUCCUGAUCUCAUGCACCAACUGGUAUUGACGACGAUACAGUGUGCAGGAGUCAGUCAUGGAAAGCGACACCAACGCGAACAGGUGCUGCAAGUGGCUCACUGUGGCGGUCAUGAUGAUGUCACAGGCAAACGAUUAUCCAUGUGCGUGUAGUCCACUUGUCCCAAUGUUACAGCACGCUUGAACACAUUUGGAGAACCAAGAUACUGUAUUCCCUACAAAUGGACUUAUGAUUUGAUGUUCAAGCUCGAUUCGUAGUCAUUGUGUUGUGCCUUGUAAUUUCAUUUUAUUUUUGUUGGAGAUACAAUUUUUCAAAUAGAUGGAACCAAGGAAAAGAGGCUGAAUGAAUGUAAGUGCUGGCGUUAAUGCAAGGUGGGCCAGAUUCAAGGUGGGAAAGUCCCCCACCCGAGCCAACUCCUAUCUGUUGUUUGCCCAUACAGCCCUCCCUUGUGCUCUCCUGCAUGUUCCACAUAUGUGGUACAUGCUUGUUUGUGUGUGGUGCAUGCUUGUGUUUCGUCAGCAUCCUUGUGAAAGUUGACUCAGUGUUGACCAAAGAGGAGGAGCAGCCACUGACAUCAUCAUCUUCACACUCUUUAUUUUCAUAAGCAAAUCAAGAGCAAACAGGGACAGAGCACAUUCUAAUGGUGGACUUGGAAUGGUGUACAGUAUACGCACAACCUGGGUAGGGCACUAGACACGUUUGAAAUGUAUGUAUAAAAGGAGGCAAGAGAAAGGCUUUUAACAUGAACUCUUAUUCAGAACCCUAAACCUGCCUUGAAACCCAAAUCCAGUUGAACUACCUAAUAGGGCUGUCACGAUUUUAGAUUUUUAGACUCGUUUAUGAUGUUGAUUAUGCCACUGAAUAAAUGCAGAACAUUUUAUUUUGCA